GGCAAGUAGUAACAACGAACUGCGAGAAGUCAGCAGACGCCAUAGUACCUACAGGAGUCGAUACAAGUAGGGAAGGGC
Molecule: non-coding RNA, 78 nt
Filed under: bovine gut metagenome
Source: RNAcentral